GCGUAAAUAAAAGAUUAAUUUUUAUUUUCGAAGGCUCCUCUCUGGUCAGCAACUGACGCUGAGGCUCGAAAGCGUGGGAACCAAACAGGAUUAGAUACCCUGGUAGUCCACGCCGUAAACGAUGAGUGCUAAGCGUUGAAGGGUUUCCGUCCCUAAAGCUGCAGUUAACGCAUUAAGCACUCCGCCUGGGGAGUACGACCGCAAGGUUGAAACUCAAAGGCAUUGACGGGGACCCGCACAAGCGGAGGAGCAUGUGGUUUAAUUUUAAAUCACGCGAAGAACUUUCUCAGGUCUUGACAUUCUUUGAUCAUGCUGGACAUAGAGCUUUUUCUUCGGGAAAAGCGACAGGCGGAGCACGCUGUCGCCACUCGCGGCGUGAGAUUUCGGCUCAGUCCCGCACGAGCGCAUCCUUAAUCUCAGGUGCC
Molecule: ribosomal RNA, 425 nt
Filed under: uncultured Bacilli bacterium
Lineage: Bacteria; Bacillati; Bacillota; Bacilli
Description: bacterial SSU rRNA
Rfam family: Bacterial small subunit ribosomal RNA
Source: RNAcentral